CAAGGAUUUUACAGAAAGGUUAACUAAUAUCGAGGAGUUAACUAGAGCUACCAUUAAGAAGUUAACUCAAGGGAUGGAUGAACACAACAAGGCGAUGGCAGCAGCCAAGUCGGAUGAAGCAAAAAGUAACAUUAAAACCCAACAACAAAAUGCCAAAACUGGCUUGCGGACCUGCAAUAAUAUUUUAGCGAUGGGAAAGCCCUUACACGCAAAGGCACCCUCAUUUAUUGGGGAUAAUAGCAUCAACCUAUCUUGGAAGGAAGUAACAAAAACUCACGUGUCCACUACCGCUUCUGCAGCUGGGGGAAAACGGCCUGCCAUUGCAGCUAAUGGAUCAAACAACAUACCAUCAAAGAAAGGUCGUGGAUCUGGUGGUUUACAAAAUCAGCUUGUUAAUAGGGCAUUGGAAGGGUUAUCGUAUGGCGGUCGCGGAGGGAUGAGGGGUGGCCGAG
RNAcentral lists this unclassified non-coding RNA (452 nucleotides) under Hevea brasiliensis (rubber tree). Lineage: Eukaryota; Viridiplantae; Streptophyta; Magnoliopsida; Malpighiales; Euphorbiaceae. The record is from RNAcentral.